RNAcentral lists this long non-coding RNA (398 nucleotides) under Astyanax mexicanus (Mexican tetra). RNAcentral's name for it is "lncRNA (ENSAMXG00005017464.1)". Lineage: Eukaryota; Metazoa; Chordata; Actinopteri; Characiformes; Acestrorhamphidae. The record is from RNAcentral.
CGGCGCUGGCGCAGGCGCAGCGUCUCUCUCAUCAUCAGCAGCAGCGUCAGGAGGCGAGCUCGGGCUCGGCCAGUCCAGCGUUGUAGUUUUUCGCAGUUUCUGUCGUUUAUAUUAGUGGAGUUUGUAGCUAAAACAAGUGGAGAAAGCGGAAAACAGAGCUUUAACCCCACUAACAGGAAAAUACCGCCCUCUACAGAGCAGCUUCACCCCAGUACUGAGGUGGUAAAAUGUUGCUGGGCAAACAUUUUUCUCUGCAAGUUUUCUCUGCAAGUCACUGACACCACUGCACAUCGUGGUCCGACCAUCUUUUCUAAUGUUGUUCCAGACGUGAGUACCUCCUCCCUUUUUAUUUUGCACUGGAUUCUUAAAAUAAGCAAAAUGAUCUGUCAGUGGACUAU